RNAcentral lists this ribosomal RNA (504 nucleotides) under uncultured bacterium. Its description in RNAcentral is "partial 16S ribosomal RNA". It matches the Rfam family "Bacterial small subunit ribosomal RNA", at positions 30 to 523 of the family's 1533-position model. The record is from RNAcentral.
AUUGAACGCUGGCGGCAGGCUUAACACAUGCAAGUCGAGCGGGAAUAGGUAGCUUGCUACUGAAUUCUAGCGGCGGACGGGUGAGUAAAGCUUAGGAAUCUGCCAUUUAGUGGGGGACAACAUUCCGAAAGGGAUGCUAAUACCGCAUACGUCCUACGGGAGAAAGCAGGGGAUCACUUGUGACCUUGCGCUAAAUGAUGAGCCUAAGUCGGAUUAGCUAGUUGGUGGGGUAAAGGCCUACCAAGGCGACGAUCUGUAGCGGGUCUGAGAGGAUGAUCCGCCACACUGGGACUGAGACACGGCCCAGACUCCUACGGGAGGCAGCAGUGGGGAAUAUUGGACAAUGGGGGGAACCCUGAUCCAGCCAUGCCGCGUGUGUGAAGAAGGCCUUUUGGUUGUAAAGCACUUUAAGCGAGGAGGAGGCUACCUGGAUUAAUACUCUAGGAUAGUGGACGUUACUCGCAGAAUAAGCACCGGCUAACUCUGUGCCAGCAGCCGCGGUAA